Molecule: long non-coding RNA, 949 nt
Organism: Melanotaenia boesemani (Boeseman's rainbowfish)
Lineage: Eukaryota; Metazoa; Chordata; Actinopteri; Atheriniformes; Melanotaeniidae
Exons: 3
Source: RefSeq, a predicted model, not a curated record
GAGAAGGAAGAAAGAGGAGUGAGAGGCCUGAACAGAGAAGCUGUGUGACUCACCCGCUCUGCUCUGAAUAGCUGCAGAGACAGAGAACCAGAGACCGAGCCAGAGGCAGAAAAGGACAGCGGAGGACAGAAUGAGCAGGUUUCACAUCACAGACACCCCACUGUGGCACCCGACUUCUCACCAUUCUCUGCUUGUCUUUCAGCCCCCCCACACCUGGCGAGGGCCCCAGCAGUGAUCAGAGACCACGUAUGAGCCCGCUGGCUCUCUGAUGGGACGCGGGUUGGCUCGGUUUCUGUGUGUUCCGACCCGCCGCUGACCCGGCCCGUUCAUGAAGACUGCAGCUCAUAGCUUCAUUAACAGGAACACAUGUCUUCAGCAUGAAGGAGCCGGCUGAUGCAGGGCACUGAUGAUGAAAAGCCCAGUUUAGCUGCAGAGAUAUAGAGUGAAAAGAAGUCAUCUGAGGUUGUGGUCUCUCGCUUGUCAAACCAGUUCCAUCAGACUAAUCCCACUGUGUCAACGCCUCAAGACCCAACAAGCAGAGGAGAGAAAGGGCUGAAGUGUUCACGGCUCAAAGUUUUGUCUUCGUCCUUUAAGACCUGUCAGCACUGACGACAUGCGUACAGAUUCAAUCUUUUUAUGUUGACGCUGGCUUAUGCAAACUAAUCAUUUCAUAAAAUGUUCGUCAUUCAUUCUGUAAAAGGAAAUGAAAUCACUGAAGAAAAUGUUACCUACAGUGAUAUCAUCUUGAGAGGUUUAGGUGUUUUUUUAAAUCUCUGCUUUAAUAAUUACACAUGGUUUUACAGAUUUAAGUGGUAACACCUUUGAAAUUUUCCCUGAAACUGAACAAUAAUGUCAGUAUCACUUCAUGUCAAAACCCUUCAACAUCUUCUUUUAAACCCCUUUAAAUGACAUUUUUUGUGAUGUUUAUUUUUCUAAACUGUUGGUAUUU